RNAcentral lists this ribosomal RNA (958 nucleotides) under uncultured bacterium. Its description in RNAcentral is "bacterial SSU rRNA". It matches the Rfam family "Bacterial small subunit ribosomal RNA", at positions 54 to 1001 of the family's 1533-position model. The record is from RNAcentral.
CAUGCAAGUCGAGGGGCAGCAUGGUCUUAGCUUGCUAAGGCUGAUGGCGACCGGCGCACGGGUGAGUAACACGUAUCCAACUUGCCGUCUACUCUUGGCCAGCCUUCUGAAAGGAAGAUUAAUCCAGGAUGGGAUCAUGAGUUCACAUGUCCGCAUGAUUAAAGGUAUUUUCCGGUAGACGAUGGGGAUGCGUUCCAUUAGAUAGUAGGCGGGGUAACGGCCCACCUAGUCAACGAUGGAUAGGGGUUCUGAGAGGAAGGUCCCCCACAUUGGAACUGAGACACGGUCCAAACUCCUACGGGAGGCAGCAGUGAGGAAUAUUGGUCAAUGGGCGAUGGCCUGAACCAGCCAAGUAGCGUGAAGGAUGACUGCCCUAUGGGUUGUAAACUUCUUUUAUAAAGGAAUAAAGUCGGGUAUGCAUACCCGUUUGCAUGUACUUUAUGAAUAAGGAUCGGCUAACUCCGUGCCAGCAGCCGCGGUAAUACGGAGGAUCCGAGCGUUAUCCGGAUUUAUUGGGUUUAAAGGGAGCGUAGAUGGAUGUUUAAGUCAGUUGUGAAAGUUUGCGGCUCAACCGUAAAAUUGCAGUUGAUACUGGAUGUCUUGAGUGCAGUUGAGGCAGGCGGAAUUCGUGGUGUAGCGGUGAAAUGCUUAGAUAUCACGAAGAACUCCGAUUGCGAAGGCAGCCUGCUAAGCUGCAACUGACAUUGAGGCUCGAAAGUGUGGGUAUCAAACAGGAUUAGAUACCCUGGGAGUCCACACGGUAAACGAUGAAUACUCGCUGUUUGCGAUAUACGGCAAGCGGCCAAGCGAAAGCGUUAAGUAUUCCACCUGGGGAGUACGCCGGCAACGGUGAAACUCAAAGGAAUUGACGGGGGCCCGCACAAGCGGAGGAACAUGUGGUUUAAUUCGAUGAUACGCGAGGAACCUUACCCGGGCUUAAAUUGCACUCGAAUGAUCC